GACGAACGCUGGCGGCGUGCUUAACACAUGCAAGUCGAACGGAAAGGCCCUGCUUUUGUGGGGUGCUCGAGUGGCGAACGGGUGAGUAACACGUGAGUAACCUGCCCUUGACUUUGGGAUAACUUCAGGAAACUGGGGCUAAUACCGGAUAGGAGCUCCUGCUGCAUGGUGGGGGUUGGAAAGUUUCGGCGGUUGGGGACGGACUCGCGGCUUAUCAGCUUGUUGGUGGGGUAGUGGCUUACCAAGGCUUUGACGGGUAGCCGGCCUGAGAGGGUGACCGGCCACAUUGGGACUGAGAUACGGCCCAGACUCCUACGGGAGGCAGUAGUGGGGAAUAUUGCAAAAUGGGCGGAAGCCUGAUGCAGCAACGCCGCGUGCGGGAUGACGGCCUUCGGGUUGUAAACCGCUUUCGCCUGUGACGAAGCGUGAGUGACGGUAAUGGGUAAAGAAGCACCGGCUAACUACGUG
RNAcentral lists this ribosomal RNA (468 nucleotides) under uncultured bacterium. RNAcentral describes it as "partial 16S ribosomal RNA". It matches the Rfam family "Bacterial small subunit ribosomal RNA", at positions 28 to 507 of the family's 1533-position model. The record is from RNAcentral.